This 315-nucleotide unclassified non-coding RNA is filed under the name Hevea brasiliensis (rubber tree). The record is from RNAcentral. Lineage: Eukaryota; Viridiplantae; Streptophyta; Magnoliopsida; Malpighiales; Euphorbiaceae.
GGGCCCUCUGGAGGCAGAGAUGGCUCUUCUUCUCAAGCUGGAGGCUGCUGCAGUUGAAAAUCAAACUCACCUGCUCCACUGAUUUGCGACCAGCUUACUUUUCUUCUGUCAUUUGGGUCUGAAUAUUGUAACUUAUUUUUGAUAUUUGCGGAUUCAGGGCAUGUGAUACAUGUAUAAUCCACCUUGAUGUCACGUCUAUUGGUCGUAGAUUCAUCAAAUGCUUUAGUUUCCUUCCUGUCCUUUUAUUUUGUUGGAUUGUAUUAGUUUCUUUCUUCUUUUGCGAUGUUGAAGGAAACUCUGAAAUGUGAAAUGCAG